GCCUUAUUAUCUCAGGGGCAGAGCAGCAGUCUCGUAAACUGAAGGUCGUAUAAGUUCGAAUCCAGUCUCAUGAGGCU
Molecule: non-coding RNA, 77 nt
Organism: Paramuricea clavata
Lineage: Eukaryota; Metazoa; Cnidaria; Anthozoa; Malacalcyonacea; Plexauridae
Source: the annotation of a GenBank genome assembly